AGCAACAAAUGCCCUGCUUCCAGGAAAAGCCUCUAAGCAUCAGGUAACAUCAAAUCGUACCCCAAACCGACACAGGUGGUCAGGUAGAGAAUACCAAGGCGCUUGAGAGAACUCGGGUGAAGGAACUAGGCAAAAUGGUGCCGUAACUUCGGGAGAAGGCACGCUGACACGUAGGUGAAGUGAUUUACUCAUGGAGCUGAAGUCAGUCGAAGAUACCAGCUGGCUGCAACUGUUUAUUAAAAACACAGCACUGUGCAAACACGAAAGUGGACGUAUACGGUGUGACGCCUGCCCGGUGCCGGAAGGUUAAUUGAUGGGGUCAGCGCAAGCGAAGCUCCUGAUCGAAGCCCCGGUAAACGGCGGCCGUAACUAUAACGGUCCUAAGGUAGCGAAAUUCCUUGUCGGGUAAGUUCCGACCUGCACGAAUGGCGUAAUGAUGGCCAGGCUGUCUCCACCCGAGACUCAGUGAAAUUGAACUCGCUGUGAAGAUGCAGUGUACCCGCGGCAAGACGGAAAGACCCCGUGAACCUUUACUAUAGCUUGACACUGAACAUUGAGCCUUGAUGUGUAGGAUAGGUGGGAGGCUUUGAAGUGUGGACGCCAGUCUGCAUGGAGCCGACCUUGAAAUACCACCCUUUAAUGUUUGAUGUUCUAACGUGGACCCGUUACCCGGGUUGCGGACAGUGUCUGGUGGGUAGUUUGACUGGGGCGGUCUCCUCCUAAAGAGUAACGGAGGAGCACGAAGGUUGGCUAAUCCUGGUCGGACAUCAGGAGGUUAGUGCAAUGGCAUAAGCCAGCUUGACUGCGAGCGUGACGGCGCGAGCAGGUGCGAAAGCAGGUCAUAGUGAUCCGGUGGUUCUGAAUGGAAGGGCCAUCGCUCAACGGAUAAAAGGUACUCCGGGGAUAACAGGCUGAUACCGCCCAAGAGUUCAUAUCGACGGCGGUGUUUGGCACCUCGAUGUCGGCUCAUCACAUCCUGGGGCUGAAGUAGGUCCCAAGGGUAUGGCUGUUCGCCAUUUAAAGUGGUACGCGAGCUGGGUUUAGAACGUCGUGAGACAGUUCGGUCCCUAUCUGCCGUGGGCGCUGGAGAACUGAGGGGGGCUGCUCCUAGUACGAGAGGACCGGAGUGGACGCAUCACUGGUGUUCGGGUUGUCAUGCCAAUGGCACUGCCCGGUAGCUAAAUGCGGAAGAGAUAAGUGCUGAAAGCAUCUAAGCACGAAACUUGCCCCGAGAUGAGUUCUCCCUGAGACUUAAAGUCUCCUGAAGGAACGUUGAAGACGACGACGUUGAUAGGCCGGGUGUGUAAGCGCAGCGAUGCGUUGAGCUAACCGGUACUAA
RNAcentral lists this ribosomal RNA (1339 nucleotides) under Salmonella enterica subsp. enterica serovar Enteritidis. RNAcentral describes it as "partial 23S ribosomal RNA". It matches the Rfam family "Bacterial large subunit ribosomal RNA", at positions 1589 to 2904 of the family's 2925-position model. Lineage: Bacteria; Pseudomonadati; Pseudomonadota; Gammaproteobacteria; Enterobacterales; Enterobacteriaceae. The record is from RNAcentral.